AGAGCUCCUGGGGAUCCCUCCCCAAGAGGAGACCAUCUUGGGAUCCCAGAUACACUGAGCAACUUGCGCCCUGUCCUUCCUGCCCUGGCUUCUGGCAGUCAGCCUCCAUGAGCCAGUCAGCAGGAUCCAUUCAAGGUGGUGCCCGUGUAUGUAAGAGAGACAGUGGAGGUGGAGGUGGAGAGCAUGGACAAGGCCGGCAACUUUAUCGGCUGGCUGCACAUCGAUAGCGCCAACCUGUCCGUCCUGCUGGUGGAGCACGCACUCUCCAAGGUCCACUUCACUGCCGAACGCAGCUCCUACUACAAGUCCCUGCUGUCUGCCGAGGAGGCCGCCAAGCAGAAGAAAGAGAAGGUCUGGGCCCACUAUGAGGAGCAGCCCGUGGAGGAGGUGAUGCCAGUGCUGGAGGAGAAGGAGCGAUCCGCCAGCUACAAGCCCGUGUUUGUGACCGAGAUCACUGAUGACCUGCACUUCUACGUGCAGGAUGUGGAGACCGGCACCCAGUUGGAGAAGCUGAUGGAGAACAUGCGCA
This 529-nucleotide small RNA is filed under the name Pongo abelii (Sumatran orangutan). RNAcentral's name for it is "processed transcript". Lineage: Eukaryota; Metazoa; Chordata; Mammalia; Primates; Hominidae. The record is from RNAcentral.